AGGCAGUCGCCUCUUUUUCUCAGAAUUUUUUCUUCUUCAAUUGUUUUCUGGCCAACGUCCGAUUUGACUCCGAUUUUGGCAGAAUCUGGAAGUGAAGAUGUUUUAUUGGGUGGUUUUCGGUUGCAUCUGUGAUAGUUCGAUGGGCUAUUCAUUGGAAGACAUGGUGUUAUAAUGUGAAGAGACAAAACUUGAUCUUCUAAUCCAGGUGGAUGAGCAGCCCCAGAGCAGCCGAAAGAGAGAAUCUGAACUGAGAGAUGAACUUGAGUCCGCCAUGGUGGAAGAGAAACCUCCUCAAGACAGUACCCAGAUGCAAGUGUCAGUGUCAUCACCACAAGAGAACGCGAAGAAAGAUGUUCGAUGGAGGCACUGCAUCAUCAAACGAA
This is a long non-coding RNA of Raphanus sativus (radish), 383 nucleotides long. RefSeq lists it as uncharacterized. NCBI's taxonomy places the organism in Eukaryota, Viridiplantae, Streptophyta, Magnoliopsida, Brassicales, Brassicaceae. The transcript is spliced from 3 exons. The record is from RefSeq and is a predicted model, not a curated record.